GGGGGUAGUUCAGUGAUAGAGUGCUUGCCUAGCACAUGCAAGGCCUUGGGUUCAGUUCCCAAUACCACCA
This 70-nucleotide transfer RNA is filed under the name Marmota monax (woodchuck). RNAcentral describes it as "tRNA.Ala". Lineage: Eukaryota; Metazoa; Chordata; Mammalia; Rodentia; Sciuridae. The record is from RNAcentral.